AGUCGAACGGCAGCACGGGAGCAAUCCUGGUGGCGAGUGGCGAACGGGUGAGUAAUAUAUCGGAACGUGCCCAGUCGUGGGGGAUAACGCAGCGAAAGCUGUGCUAAUACCGCAUACGUCCUGAGGGAGAAAGCGGGGGAUCGCAAGACCUCGCGCGAUUGGAGCGGCCGAUAUCGGAUUAGCUAGUUGGUGAGGUAAAGGCUCACCAAGGCGACGAUCCGUAGCUGGUCUGAGAGGACGACCAGCCACACUGGAACUGAGACACGGUCCAGACUCCUACGGGAGGCAGCAGUGGGGAAUUUUGGACAAUGGGGGCAACCCUGAUCCAGCCAUUCCGCGCGAGUGAAGAAGGCCUUCGGGUUGUAAAGCUCUUUCAGCAGGAACGAAACGGUGGCUCCUAAUACGAGCUACUAAUGACGGUACCUGAAGAAGAAGCACCGGCUAACUACGUGCCAGCAGCCGCGGUAAU
This 469-nucleotide ribosomal RNA is filed under the name uncultured bacterium. RNAcentral's name for it is "bacterial SSU rRNA". It matches the Rfam family "Bacterial small subunit ribosomal RNA", at positions 60 to 524 of the family's 1533-position model. The record is from RNAcentral.